Molecule: long non-coding RNA, 590 nt
Filed under: Numida meleagris (helmeted guineafowl)
Lineage: Eukaryota; Metazoa; Chordata; Aves; Galliformes; Numididae
Description: lncRNA (ENSNMEG00000018703.1)
Source: RNAcentral
UUACUCAAGAUGACUAUAUGACUCAAUUCUGUUUUUUCAAAAAGGUUUUUCUUAUUUCUAGAUUCACAAAAAUUAGAUGAGAAGAAUGCCUAUGAUCUUCAAAUCUGAGUUCAUCUAUAUGUGGACCAUGGACAGGCAGGGUUCAAGUAACUGUCAGAAAAAAAAUAAGUAGAAGAAGGCAGAGGACUCCCAGUGAAAUGCUGACUAUAGACAAAUCUGGGAAUAAAUAACAGAGAUUUAUGAAUUUUCAGACAAAGAAAAACUCUGUGAGAGCGCAUGCUGUACUUCUGAUUCCAGCAAAUGUGCACAGGAAGCCCACCCUCGGUAUCACAAUAGCACUCCAUGCUGAUGAUCACCAGAGUCCAGUGUUCAAUUUAGAGGCAAUGUCAAAACGAGCAACAAUCGAAGAGAAACCAGCCUGGAUUGAUUUAAAGAACGGGCCUGAAGGAACCUCUCAGAGUAUGUUUGUGUCUUUGUAUAACUGGAGCUGGCUUUCUGUAAAUGAGAUGCAAAAUGGAGGAAUUCAGGAAAUUCAUAUGGCAGUUUCAGUGCUGCGCAGGACUGCAUGUUUGAUCCCAGAGGUACCUUGA